UCAAAAGCAUGGCAUGAGGGUUUAAUAACUCAUAUGUGGUUAUGACAGGGGUUAAACAGGGUGAUGCCAUUUCACUUCUGGUCUCAUUUAAAAUGCUUAUUUUUACAACCAAAAUAUAAAGACAAUAAAUUCCUAAGUUAAUAAAAAUACAUAUAGAUAACUUCUUCAACUGAGAAAUGACCAGUUCUUCACUAGGAGAGAGGCUCAGAUGACUCUUCUUCACAUUUAAAUGAAAAGAGUGCUCGGAGAAUGUGCAUUCUGAUGGCACCUCAGAAGUGUUGCUCUGAAAAUUAAUUUCGCCCAGCCACAGAGGUCUGAUGACACAAACGUGAGCAUCAUCAGUUUCUGCACAGACACUACCCUGUGCUGCAGUAAAAGCUUGUUUUCAUGGUGAUAACAAGAAAGAGGUACCAGGACUCCCUCAGCAGAAUCUUUCAGAGGAAUGAAGGAAGAACUGUGCAUAAAUUAUGGAUUUAUUUUCUUCUACUUGGGAAUUAUGUAAGUUGUACAAAAAGCUCAAAAUAAUUUAAUACAACUAUUGUGCAUUUGCAUCUGCAUGUCUGUAGUGAUUUAUCUUUUCCCCCUUUUUCCUUUUUCCUCAUUCUCUUGUUUUCUCUCUUCCUCCCUUCAUCUCAGUCUUUCUCUGUGACUCACAUGCACACACAUACAUGCACUCUCCAGUAGCAAGGGCAUCUGCAGCAGGCAACCCCCCAGUUUUCCCACUUGAAAAUGUUCAUGUGGCUUCCAGUAUGACUUUCCUCUGCUUAUAUGGAUAGCCACCAACCUCUAUAAGACACUGUAAGAUUUCUGUUGAUCUCUUGUGUGCAUGCUUAGGGCAGGUUUCACUUACUCGGUCCCUGUCUCCAUCCUACUGUUUGGAAGUAUUGUGGA
RNAcentral lists this long non-coding RNA (891 nucleotides) under Cairina moschata (Muscovy duck). RNAcentral's name for it is "domestica (muscovy Duck (domestic type)) lncRNA (ENSCMMG00000004428.1)". The record is from RNAcentral. Lineage: Eukaryota; Metazoa; Chordata; Aves; Anseriformes; Anatidae.